GGAUAUAGCUCAGCUUGGUAGAGUACCUGGUUUGGGACCAGGGUGUCGUAGGUUCAAAUCCUACUAUCC
This 69-nucleotide transfer RNA is filed under the name Chaetoceros neogracilis. It matches the Rfam family "tRNA". From Rfam's summary of the family: Transfer RNA (tRNA) molecules are approximately 80 nucleotides in length. Their secondary structure includes four short double-helical elements and three loops (D, anti-codon, and T loops). Lineage: Eukaryota; Bacillariophyta; Thalassiosirophyceae; Chaetocerotales; Chaetocerotaceae. The record is from RNAcentral.